Molecule: unclassified non-coding RNA, 168 nt
Filed under: uncultured Helotiales
Lineage: Eukaryota; Fungi; Ascomycota; Leotiomycetes; Helotiales
Description: sequence contains ITS1
Source: RNAcentral
CCGAGUUCAUGCCCUCACGGGUAGAUCUCCCACCCUAUGUUAUCAUUACCUUCGUUGCUUUGGCGGGCCGUCAGGCUUCGGCUAGGCUAUCGGCUCCGGCUGGUAAGCGCCCGCCAGAGGACCCUCAACUCUGAAUAUCAGUGUCGUCCGAGUACUAUAAAAUAGUUA